UGUGGCAUACCUAAAACGUUGCUUCGGCGGGAACAGACGGCCCUGUAACAACGGGCCGCCCCCGCCAGAGGACCCCUAACUCUGUUUUUAUAAUGUUUUUCUGAGUAAACAAGCAAAUAAAUUAAAACUUUCAACAACGGAUCUCUUGGCUCUGGCAUCGAUGAAGAACGCAGCGAAAUGCGAUAAGUAAUGUGAAUUGCAGAAUUCAGUGAAUCAUCGAAUCUUUGAACGCACAUUGCGCCCGCCAGUAUUCUGGCGGGCAUGCCUGUUCGAGCGUCAUUACAACCCUCAGGCCCCCGGGCCUGGCGUUGGGGAUCGGCGGAAGCCCCCUGUGGGCACACGCCGUCCCUCAAAUACAGUGGCGGUCCCGCCGCAGCUUCCAUUGCGUAGUAGCUAACACCUCGCAACUGGAGAGCGGCGCGGCCAUGCCGUAAAACACCCAACUUCUGAAUGUUGACCUCGAAUCAGGUAGGAAUACCCGCUGAACUUAAGCAUAUCAAUAA
Molecule: ribosomal RNA, 503 nt
Rfam family: 5.8S ribosomal RNA (bases 126-279)